GGGGGUGCGCCGGAGUUGGAGAGCCGGGCCAGACUGUAAAUCUGGUGACUUUGUCUGAAUAGGUUCGAAUCCUAUCACCCCCACUA
RNAcentral lists this transfer RNA (86 nucleotides) under Phaeodactylibacter xiamenensis. RNAcentral's name for it is "tRNA-Tyr". It matches the Rfam family "tRNA". Rfam says of the family: Transfer RNA (tRNA) molecules are approximately 80 nucleotides in length. Their secondary structure includes four short double-helical elements and three loops (D, anti-codon, and T loops). The record is from RNAcentral. Lineage: Bacteria; Pseudomonadati; Bacteroidota; Saprospiria; Saprospirales; Haliscomenobacteraceae.